GAUGAACGCUGGCGGCGUGCCUAAUACAUGCAAGUCGAGCGAACGGACGAGAAGCUUGCUUCUCUGAUGUUAGCGGCGGACGGGUGAGUAACACGUGGAUAACCUACCUAUAAGACUGGGAUAACUUCGGGAAACCGGAGCUAAUACCGGAUAAUAUUUUGAACCGCAUGGUUCAAAAGUGAAAGACGGUCUUGCUGUCACUUAUAGAUGGAUCCGCGCUGCAUUAGCUAGUUGGUAAGGUAACGGCUUACCAAGGCAACGAUGCAUAGCCGACCUGAGAGGGUGAUCGGCCACACUGGAACUGAGACACGGUCCAGACUCCUACGGGAGGCAGCAGUAGGGAAUCUUCCGCAAUGGGCGAAAGCCUGACGGAGCAACGCCGCGUGAGUAAUGAAGGUCUUCGGAUCAUAAAACUCUGUUAUUAGGGAAGAACAUAUGUGUAAGUAACUGUGCACAUCCUGACGGUACCUAAUCAGAAAGCCACGGCUAACUACGUG
RNAcentral lists this ribosomal RNA (497 nucleotides) under uncultured bacterium. RNAcentral describes it as "partial 16S ribosomal RNA". It matches the Rfam family "Bacterial small subunit ribosomal RNA", at positions 28 to 507 of the family's 1533-position model. The record is from RNAcentral.